This 1283-nucleotide long non-coding RNA is filed under the name Ficedula albicollis (Collared flycatcher). Its description in RNAcentral is "lncRNA (ENSFALG00000023666.1)". The record is from RNAcentral. Lineage: Eukaryota; Metazoa; Chordata; Aves; Passeriformes; Muscicapidae.
GGGGGGGGGGGGGGGGGGGGGGGGGGGGGGGGGGGGGGGGGGGGGGGGGGGGGGGGGGGGGGGGGGGGGGGGGGGGGGGGGGGGAGGAAGAAGUGGCUGCCAUUGGCCGGAGAGAGACACGGGAGAGACGAGAGCAAGACAUUCGUGUAGCUGAAGCUGAUGGAAGGAGACGAAGAGAAGCUUUGAGGUUUGAAAGAGAGAGAGAGACCUCAGUGGCAGCAGCAAAAGCCGAUGUCAAAGUGCGCCGUGAGAUCCGGGAACGGGAACCACGAGAGGGGCUUAGGAGGAGGGACCGUCCCUGUGAUGAUGAAGAAGAAGCAGAAGCAGAGAGGAGAAUUUCCAGAGUCAGAGAGAGAGAAGAGGCCGUGAGGGAGAGGAGAAUCAAUCAGGAACGUGAGCUGGAGGUCUCUGAGCGCCGCAGCCGCCGGGCACGCGAAAGGGAGGCAGAGGUGACCACCAGUGACCAGAGGGAGGCACGGGAGGCCAUCAAGCUCGAGGUGCUGGAGGAGGAAGAUGAAGAGGAGCUGGAGCAGGGACGGUGCCGCUACCAGACCCUGGACGUGGACACCGGCGAUCUCUGCCCCCCUGGACCGGUCAGUGACCUCAGGGUCCGGUACCUCCCCGCUGACCCCGAUGUCCAGCCUGAGGUCCGGCUGCUCCCCGAGCCCGUGGACCCUCAGACCGUGGCCUACUUGGUGCACGUGAUCCAGAACCAGGAUGAUCCCAAAGGUGCCACCUACGAGAUCGUGUGCCACCAGCCCGGGCAGCCCACACGCAUCCGGACCUGCUCCGUGUGCCCGAGGCCACCGCGGGCUGAGGCCACCAAAUCCCAGGAAAAUCCCCCUGAGGAUCUGGAUGAACCCAGGGAAAGGUCUGGGAAAGAGGUGAAAGACAGAGCUGCCCGGGAUUUCGCUGAGCCGGAGGCUGUGGAUGGCGAGAGGGUGAAAUCCAAGGAGAUCCAGAGGCGCCCAGAGAUCCCUGAGGUGGAGCAGGAUCAGCUGCAGGGUGAGGGAUCCCAAAAAAUCCCACCGGAGUGCCAGGACAGCGAGGCCAAGAGCUGCCCCCUGGCUCCAGAAGCUCGGGAAUGUCAGGAUCCAGAGCAGAGAGAUCCCGGAGAAACCCGCAGGGAGGGGAUCCAGGAGGCUCCUGAGGAGGAAUCCAGCAAGAGGAGCCGCCGGGAAUCCGGCAAUUCCCGAGUUUCUCGGGAAGGUGGCACCAAGCAGGGCCAGGAGCCCUCGCAGGUGGCCCCGAGCUGCCCCAGGGAUGAAUCCAAGAAAUCCUGA